AUCCAGCUGAGGAGUCCCAAGUAGGACGAAACGCGCGUCCUGGAU
This 45-nucleotide non-coding RNA is filed under the name Schistosoma mansoni. The record is from RNAcentral. Lineage: Eukaryota; Metazoa; Platyhelminthes; Trematoda; Strigeidida; Schistosomatidae.